This 650-nucleotide ribosomal RNA is filed under the name uncultured marine bacterium. RNAcentral's name for it is "bacterial SSU rRNA". It matches the Rfam family "Bacterial small subunit ribosomal RNA", at positions 82 to 765 of the family's 1533-position model. The record is from RNAcentral.
UUCCGGGCGACGAGUGGCGGACGGGUGAGUAACGCGUGGGAAUCUACCUAGUAGCGGGGGACAACUCGAGGAAACUCGAGCUAAUACCGCAUAAUCCCUUCGGGGGAAAGGCUUCGGCCACUAUUAGAUGAGCCCGCGUCCGAUUAGCUUGUUGGUGAGGUAACUGCUCACCAAGGCUACGAUCGGUAGCUGGUCUGAGAGGAUGAUCAGCCACACUGGGACUUAGACACGGCCCAGACUCCUACGGGAGGCAGCAGUGGGGAAUAUUGCACAAUGGGCGAAAGCCUGAUGCAGCAAUGCCGCGUGUGUGAAGAAGGCCUGCGGGUUGUAAAGCACUUUCAGUAGGGAAGAUAAUGACGGUACCUACAGAAGAAGCACCGGCUAACUCCGUGCCAGCAGCCGCGGUAAUACGGAGGGUGCGAGCGUUAAUCGGAAUUACUGGGCGUAAAGCGCGCGUAGGCGGCUCAUUAAGUCGGAUGUGAAAGCCCUGGGCUUAACCUAGGAACUGCAUUCGAUACUGGUGGGCUAGAGUAUAGAAGAGGGAAGCGGAAUUCCGGAUGUAGCGGUGAAAUGCGUAGAUAUCCGGAGGAACACCAGUGGCGAAGGCGGCUUCCUGGGCUAAUACUGACGCUAAGGUGCGAAAGCGUGGG